GUCGAGCGCACUCUUUUAGAGUGAGCGGCAAACGGGUGAGUAACGCGUGGGAAUCUACCCAUCUCUACGGAAUAACACAGAGAAAUUUGUGCUAAUACCGUAUACGUCCUAUUGGAGAAAGAUUUAUCGGAGAUGGAUGAGCCCGCGUUGGAUUAGCUAGUUGGUGAGGUAACGGCUCACCAAGGCGACGAUCCAUAGCUGGUCUGAGAGGAUGAUCAGCCACACUGGGACUGAGACACGGCCCAGACUCCUACGGGAGGCAGCAGUGGGGAAUAUUGGACAAUGGGGGCAACCCUGAUCCAGCCAUGCCGCGUGAGUGAUGAAGGCCCU
This 330-nucleotide ribosomal RNA is filed under the name uncultured Bartonella sp. RNAcentral describes it as "bacterial SSU rRNA". It matches the Rfam family "Bacterial small subunit ribosomal RNA", at positions 61 to 418 of the family's 1533-position model. Lineage: Bacteria; Pseudomonadati; Pseudomonadota; Alphaproteobacteria; Hyphomicrobiales; Bartonellaceae. The record is from RNAcentral.